GCCCACGUUUAGGGGUGCUUCGUCCGUAUGCGACGAGGCUGAGAUCAUACCCAUUGAACCUGAUGCGGCUAAUACCGACGAAGGGAACAAACGGUCCGCGAACGA
RNAcentral lists this non-coding RNA (105 nucleotides) under Hymenobacter sp. Its description in RNAcentral is "TPP sequence". It matches the Rfam family "TPP riboswitch aptamer (THI element)". Rfam says of the family: Vitamin B(1) in its active form thiamin pyrophosphate (TPP) is an essential coenzyme that is synthesised by coupling of pyrimidine and thiazole moieties in bacteria. The previously detected thiamin-regulatory element, thi box was extended, resulting in a new, highly conserved RNA secondary structure, the THI element, which is widely distributed in eubacteria and also occurs in some archaea. The record is from RNAcentral. Lineage: Bacteria; Pseudomonadati; Bacteroidota; Cytophagia; Cytophagales; Hymenobacteraceae. RNAcentral also lists the same sequence under 1 other name.